AGGGGCAGUAUAUAAUAUGCUUUGGGGCAUAUAAUUCCAGUGUCUAAAGCAAGGGAGGGAGUUUGGCCCUGUGUGGUGCAGGAAGAGGAGUUCCUGGUGGCAGACUGAAAAUGGAGCAGGAAGUGGAUGGAAGAAAAAUGAUUAUGAGAGAGAGAAAGGACCAAAGAGAGAAAGGAGGACCAAACACUGGGGAAACUGAGAAAACAACAAAGAACAUCAAUGAAACGUAAUAUAUGAAGCACAAAAGAGAGGACACUGCGUUUGUGGAAAGAGAACUGAAGCACGGUGUUCCCAAUGACUGAAUGGAUACAUGAAUAAUAAAUGAGUUGCAAACAAUACUGUAUAAUCACUCUAAGGACUUUUUAUCACAUCUAAGAUUAGAAUGACAUUAUGAAGUCUAAAUGGCAACACUGGCAUGCACAUUGACAUUUGGCACUGGAGUGAAAUGCUUAAAGCUAAAAGUUGAACAUUGUGCACACUCCAAAAUACACAUGA
Alligator sinensis (Chinese alligator) is the source of this 495-nucleotide long non-coding RNA. RefSeq lists it as uncharacterized. The transcript has 3 exons. NCBI's taxonomy places the organism in Eukaryota, Metazoa, Chordata, Crocodylia, Alligatoridae. The record is from RefSeq and is a predicted model, not a curated record.